RNAcentral lists this unclassified non-coding RNA (399 nucleotides) under soil metagenome. RNAcentral describes it as "partial contains 5.8S ribosomal RNA, internal transcribed spacer 2, and large subunit ribosomal RNA". The stretch from base 1 to 121 matches the Rfam family "5.8S ribosomal RNA", at positions 35 to 154 of the family's 154-position model. The record is from RNAcentral.
GAUGAAGAACGUAGCGAAAUGCGAUACUUGGUGUGAAUUGCAGAUCCCGUGAACCAUCGAGUCUUUGAACGCAAGUUGCGCCUCAAGCCAUUAGGUUGAGGGCACGUCUGCCUGGGCGUCACAUAUCGUUGCCUGAUGCCAGUUUCCUCGUGAUGGGUGACUGUGCAGGGCGAAUGAUGGCUUCCCGUGAGCAUUGUUGCCUCAUGGUUGGUUGAAAAUUGAGUCCUUGGUAGGGAGCGCCGUGAUAGAUGGUGGUUGAGUGACGAACGAGACCCAAUCAUGUGAGACCCCUACCGAAUUUGGCCUUCAUGACCCACAUGCGUCUUUGGAACGCUCAUGACGAGACCUCAGGUCAGGCGGGGCUACCCGCUGAGUUUAAGCAUAUCAAUAAGCGGAGGA